This 1368-nucleotide ribosomal RNA is filed under the name uncultured bacterium. RNAcentral describes it as "bacterial SSU rRNA". It matches the Rfam family "Bacterial small subunit ribosomal RNA", at positions 74 to 1426 of the family's 1533-position model. The record is from RNAcentral.
CCUGAGCAAUCGGGAGAGUAAAGUGGCGCACGGGUGAGUAACGCGUGGGUAACCUACCCUUAAAUUGGGGAUAACUCCGCGAAAGCGGUGUUAAUACCGAAUAAUAUUCCAAUGCCUUUGGGAGUUGGAAUCAAAGGUGGCCUCAAGCUAUCAUUUAAGGAUGGGCCCGCGUACCAUUAGCUUGUUGGUAGGGUAAUGGCCUACCAAGGCAACGAUGGUUAGCUGGUCUGAGAGGAUGGCCAGCCACACUGGAACUGAGACACGGUCCAGACUCCUACGGGAGGCAGCAGUGGGGAAUCUUGCGCAAUGGGGGAAACCCUGACGCAGCAACGCCGCGUGGGUGAUGAAGGCCUUCGGGUCGUAAAGCCCUGUCAGGUGGGAAGAAACUUGCCGAUGUGAAUACCAUCGGCACUUGACGGUACCACCGGAGGAAGCACCGGCUAACUCCGUGCCAGCAGCCGCGGUAAUACGGAGGGUGCGAGCGUUGUUCGGAAUUAUUGGGCGUAAAGCGCGUGCAGGCGGUCGAGUAAGUCAGAUGUGAAAGCCUUCCGCUUAACGGAAGAAGUGCAUUUGAAACUGCUCGGCUGGAGUACGGGAGAGGAGAGUGGAAUUCCCGGUGUAGAGGUGAAAUUCGUAGAUAUCGGGAGGAACACCAGUGGCGAAGGCGGCUCUCUGGUCCGAUACUGACGCUGAGACGCGAAAGCGUGGGGAGCAAACAGGAUUAGAUACCCUGGUAGUCCACGCCGUAAACGAUGGGCACUAGGUGUAGGAGGUAUUGACCCCUUCUGUGCGAAGCUAACGCAUUAAGUGCCCCGCCUGGGGAGUACGGCCGCAAGGCUAAAACUCAAAGGAAUUGACGGGCCCGCACAAGCGGUGGAGCAUGUGGUUCAAUUCGACGCAACGCGAAGAACCUUACCUGGGCUUGACAUCCGCUGACCGUCCUGGAAACAGGAUCUUCUCCGCAAGGGGACAGCGAGACAGGUGCUGCAUGGCUGUCGUCAGCUCGUGUCGUGAGAUGUUGGGUUAAGUCCCGCAACGAGCGCAACCCUCAUCCUUAGUUGCCAUCAUUGAGUUGGGCACUCUAAGGAAACUGCCUCGGUUAACGGGGAGGAAGGUGGGGAUGACGUCAAGUCCUCAUGGCCUUUAUGUCCAGGGCUACACACGUGCUACAAUGGGCGGUACAAAGGGUUGCAAUCCCGCAAGGGGGAGCUAAUCUCAAAAAGCCGCUCUCAGUUCAGAUUGGAGUCUGCAACUCGACUCCAUGAAGGCGGAAUCGCUAGUAAUUGCGGAUCAGCAUGCCGCGGUGAAUACGUUCCCGGGCCUUGUACACACCGCCCGUCACACCAUGAGAGCUGACUGUACCAGAAG